CCUACGGGUGGCAGCAGUGGGGAAUAUUGGGCAAUGGGCGCAAGCCUGACCCAGCAACGCCGCGUGAAGGAAGAAGGCUUUCGGGUUGUAAACUUCUUUUGUCAGGGAAGAGUAGAAGACGGUACCGGACGAAUAAGCCACGGCUAACGACGUGCCAGCAGCGGCGGUAAUACGUAGGUGGCAAGCGUUGUACGGAUUUACUGGUGGUAAAGGGCGUGUAGGCGGGUGGAAAAGUCAGAUGUGAAAUCCUGCGGCUUAACCGCAGAACUGCAUUUGAAACUGUUGAUCUUGAGUACUGGAGAGGCAGACGGAAUUCCUAGUGUAGCGGUGAAAUGCGUAGAUAUUAGGAGGAACACCAGUGGCGAAGGCGGUCUGCUGGACAGCAACUGACGGUGAGGCGCGAAAGCGUGGGGAGCAAACAGGAUUAGAUACCCGUGUAGUC
This 442-nucleotide ribosomal RNA is filed under the name uncultured bacterium. Its description in RNAcentral is "partial 16S ribosomal RNA". It matches the Rfam family "Bacterial small subunit ribosomal RNA", at positions 338 to 795 of the family's 1533-position model. The record is from RNAcentral.